CCUUUGAAAAACAACAUUUCCCAUUCAAAAUUUUCUUUAUAUAGCCUCAAAAUUUGAUCAAGAACUCAUCGCUUGUUGAAAAGAGAGAAAAUUGGAGAAAAAAUGGUGAGGAUCACUCCUAAGGUUGCAAUGGUGAUGAGCAUCAUGUUGGUGUUGCUACUCACAAGCUCUUGCUUCCUUAUUCAUGCCAACCGACCCUUGCUUCAAGUGAAGAAUCAACACCAAUUUGAGAUUGAGGAUGAUAAUAAAGUUGAUGUGAAUAAUAAACAUCACGAGUGUCCUCGGAGUAGUUAUCCGUGCUGGAAGAUAGAUGCAGCCGCUGGAAAUAAACAUUAAAUCUCGUUUUAUCUGUCCACGAGUUUUAAAAAUAAUGAAAUUAAAACUAAAAUGUUUAUCGAACGACCCUAAAUUACUUGUAAUGCCAAGUUAAAGACUCGUUUCUUGAGUCAUGGAGACAUGAUGAAAUGAGUAUGUAUAUAAAUAAGUUAUGGUGUGGGUGUGUAUACAAAAUAGGAGACAUGAUGAAAUGAGUAUGUAUAUAAAUAAAUUAUGGUGUGGGCGUGGGAACAAAAUAUUAGGUAUAGUUUCGUAUUCCUGGUAUUGAAAGCUGCUUUGGUAUGUAUUUUCUUGUAAUUUUAUCUGUAAAAUCAGAUAUUAAGUUUGUGUAA
This is a long non-coding RNA of Cucurbita maxima (winter squash), 668 nucleotides long. RefSeq lists it as uncharacterized. NCBI's taxonomy places the organism in Eukaryota, Viridiplantae, Streptophyta, Magnoliopsida, Cucurbitales, Cucurbitaceae. The record is from RefSeq and is a predicted model, not a curated record. The transcript has 2 exons.